RNAcentral lists this non-coding RNA (115 nucleotides) under Anaerococcus vaginalis. Its description in RNAcentral is "FMN sequence". It matches the Rfam family "FMN riboswitch aptamer (RFN element)". Rfam says of the family: The RFN element is a highly conserved domain that is found frequently in the 5'-untranslated regions of prokaryotic mRNAs that encode for flavin mononucleotide (FMN) biosynthesis and transport proteins. This element is a metabolite-dependent riboswitch that directly binds FMN in the absence of proteins. RNAcentral also lists the same sequence under 1 other name. The record is from RNAcentral. Lineage: Bacteria; Bacillati; Bacillota; Tissierellia; Tissierellales; Peptoniphilaceae.
AAAUAUCUUCAGGGUGAGGUUUGAUUCCUAACCGGCAGUUAAAGUCUGCGAGUUUUUUACUGAAUGGGUGAAAUUCCCAUACCGACAGUUAUAGUCUGGAUGAGAGAAGAUAUUC